Brienomyrus brachyistius is the source of this 4224-nucleotide RNA transcript. It is a transcript of the gene named dendritic cell-specific transmembrane protein, with no coding region annotated. NCBI's taxonomy places the organism in Eukaryota, Metazoa, Chordata, Actinopteri, Osteoglossiformes, Mormyridae. The transcript has 3 exons. The record is from RefSeq and is a predicted model, not a curated record.
AUUUCAGGCUGUUUGAAGUGUUGUCUAACCACAGUAAAUUUUACAAUAUUCACUACCUGUUCGAGGUAGCCAUUUAUCAGCUGUUGGAAAUGAUUUAGAAAUUUGCAAAAGUUUAAGGGUUUAUGUGUAUAAGUUAUUCUCCCAGAAUUCUGACUGCGUGCUGCCAAGCGAGUGCCACGUUCACAGAAAAGCCGAUCUUCCAUGCUUGUCAGCUCGUUGCCUGCAGUGAUUGUUUGUGAUAAUGCUGUGAAAUCACACUUUUUUUUUUUAGCUAACAGGCAUCAUGCUGAAGAUGCACACACUGUAUCCAGAAUUAAAGCAGUUCAUGCCCCAGUGUUCGUCCACUGCUGCAUUGCUCAACACCUCCGACCGCAGGGAAGCCUACAAACGUUGCUUCCUUCGCCUUCUCACCUCCUUCACCAUCAGUCUGGCCUUUAGUGCCCUCCUCUUCCUCAGCUUCUUAUCUCUGAAGCAUGAGAGGGCGGUGCUGGGGUGCGUCGCGGGCCUGAGCUUAGCUGUUACCACACCUGCCUUAUUCAUUUCCAAGGAUGUUCGCCGCUUUGGAGUCCUCUUCCUGAUCUCCUGUGGCAUGCGGCAAGGGAGGAAUCUGCUCAUAACUGCCGGGACUGGUAUAGUGAUCUUCUGGAAUGUUCAGAACACAUUCAGCAACCUCAAGGAGCUGGCUAGGAGCAUGAUCUGCAACCUGGAGACCAGGCGCAUUCUCAUUGACCUCACACCCAUUAGCAACUAUGUUAAAAUGCUAAAAUGGAUCGGCAAGCAACUGCAGGCAAAUCCCCAUUUUGGAAUGGUUGAUUUCAAGACUCAGCUACACGUCUCAUCCAGGGUUGAUUCUAAAGACCUGGCGAAUAUGCUGAAGCAUGCAGAGAAAACAUUAAAUGCCACAGCAGACCACGUACUUGGUGUAAUGGACACCAUGUCCUCCAUAAGCCAAAUAGGAGGUCCAGUCCUUGGUCUCUUUCUGGUCUUGGUUUUCACAGUAUUGUAUGCAAGGCAGUUCCAGCACAACAGAAAGUUUAUGAACACCUUUAUCACCAGCUACUUUAUCGAGUACGAUAGGAGGCAACAAGCUACAGGACAGAUUUCUGUCAUGCCCCUGACAAAAAAUGAAGAGGCUCUCUACACCACAAUCCCAUCUCUUUGGUUUACCACCAAGGAGUGCAAGGCCAUGCUGAAGUUCAGUCUUCCUGUCCUGACUAACUUCAUAGUCUGGGUUUUAUUUAUGGUCAUCGAUGCUCUUAUCUACUGGCUGAUUGUUAUCAUCAAAACCCAUCUAGAAAGUUUGGAGCCAUUCAACGUUCCCCUGAAAAUCAGCUCUGCUGAAGAAAAAACCAUCAUUGGCAUUAAUUUUCAGGAUAACAGAGAGAGCAGGGAUUUCUCAUAUUCUGUGGCCCUCUUUGAGGAGAAAUGUCUUCCUAAUCCCACUUUGAUGACCUACAACUCUGCGGUCCCGCUCUCUGUCAUCCUUGUCGUCUUGACCUUCCUGGCUCUUCUCUCUGGCAAACUCCAGCAAGUCCAACUCUUGGUAUCGACUAAGCUCUACAGCCAGGUCUCUGACAAAAGGGUCCAGUACCUGCACUCGGAAAUAGUCUUGGAUAGGCAGACAGAGAGGAAUGCCCAGAAGACUGCUCUGAUGAAACGACUGAGAGAGGUUUGUCAUUUUUUACUUCACUUGGAGGACUGAAGUCCUCCCCAUUUUGGUCAUUUUGACUCAAGCCUUUUAGUUUAUUGCAAUAUUAAAUUGUAUUUCUCAAACAUACUGUCUCUCGUACUUUUCAAUCUCAGGUUGAUAAUUUACUUGUCGUUCCUCACAGGAGAUUGAAGGCUAGAGGGGAUAGAGCCUUUCAAUCUGAGGUUUCCAAAUUUUGGAAUAAUCUCCCGUUCAAUUAUGUUUGGCAGACUCUUGGAUUCUUUUAAAAAAAAGCCAAAAACUUUUUUAAUCUGGCAUUUAAUCUGCUUUAUAAUUAUCUGUCAUUUAUUUUAAUGCGUGUCUUAAUAUUUUUUGUUUACUUCUUUUUAUUUAUUUUGUUGUGUGCUGCUUUGUGACUACAUGUCUGUGAAAAGCACUUUACUUACCAAGUUUAAUCAUAAGUUUGGAGUGAGAUUAUGUCUUUUAGGGUCAGAGAGUGAGACUUGAGAGCCCUGUCUUACCGCAUUCAUGGGAUCUUGUCUGCCACUUCCACCUUGUCUGAACUCCGUCUGUGGAGUAAUAACGCGCUUGCAGCGGGAUCACGUGUAAUUUAUUUUGGAAUUUACCCGGAAACAACAAAUGCUAUUUUAUGAUUGGCUGGCCAGCUUCUGGUUUCCAAUAUUGUUCCAUGAUAAAGAAAAGGACAAUUUCUGACUAACCUCACCAGGAUCAAUGCAACCAAGGCAAGUGUUUUUCUCUGGGAAAAUAUUCAUAAUAUUACUUAUUGACAUUAAUAUUUUUAAAAUGUAAUGCAAUAUUUGAAAAGGAUAUUUUAAAUUAAUUCAUGUUUUUAAGCCUGUAAGGCUUGUAGAGUUAAUAAUUCCCCUAAAUGUUGUUUUCCUUUUAUGUUUUGGAAAUAGUAUUAAUUUGGGGAAAUAUAAGAAUAUAUAAAGAAAAAUGAGGUUUUGAACGGGUGAAAUGAUUCUGCUGUAAGAAUAUCUAUCGACAAACAGAUGUCUAGCUUUCAGGGCCGUGAAUGAGGCACGCUGGUACAUGGGUCACGUGUCUGCGGGGUGCUGUGGUACCUUCAAAUCACCAAAUACACUACAAAGUAAACAAUGACAAGAAUUCAGAAAUUAACACAGGCGGCAGAAUAACAUUGAUAUAGUUCCUGAGCCAUGGUGUAUGUAAAAAGGUCCUCCAUGAUUCGCAUUGAGCAUAUUAUGUAUGAACGUAUGGUAUAUAUAAAUGUCAGCUUCAGUGUUAAGAUGCAGUCUGCAUUGUGUGCUGCGAAAUCUUCAAAGUCAUGUGCUAUCAUACUACCAAAGCAGUUGAGACUCAAUUUUGCAUGAACUUCCAUUAGGGAUUAUUUUGGUGAUCUGUAACCUGUUUAAACAGAUUCAUUCAUAUACAGAUAUCAUUGUAGUGUAUAAAUCAGCUUCACAUAUAUUAAACAAACCCUUGAGGGAGUUAGACAUAGCAUCCAGCCGAGUAGGAGAGCUGGAAUUAAAUAAGUUCUGAGAACUGAGUUUACCCUCACAGUGUUUAAAUGAAAAUGUUUGUGUUCUCCAGACAACGCUGGCCUACAGGCCGUUUAAAUACACACGUUCUCCAUCCCGUGUCCUGUACUUUCUGGGUGAGGUUGCAAUCUGACUGUGACCCUUUACUGGAUAAACAGUUAGAGGAGAUGUGCAGAUCGAUGUAGAAUACCCGAAUUUAAGGAUCCAUCUCAUUCUCUUUCGUUCAAGUCGCAGCUUUACAACAUUUAUAGUUUUUAUCACAUGGCCAUUUAAGAAGAACAUCACUGAGAUAACAGCUACAGGGAUCUGAUUUCUUGUUGCUGUAGGUACAAAGUUCUGAAUGCUGAUUUGAAAUGUGAAGCAUGACAGCUUAUCGUCAUCAAAGACAAAAGAGAUGUGUUCGCAGAGUGAAUGGGCUGCAGUGCACAGGCAGCCCACCCAGUACCUCAUUGUGUCUGCAGGCCGCAAACCUGUGCUGCUUGAUGAAGUUUCCUACAGAGAAGUUCAAGACAGGCUUGUAAACUGAAGAUUACUGGUUCCAGUCCAGAAAUGGCUGAAUUAUGUCAUACUCUUGACUCUUGAAUGUACCUAUUCUGAAGUUCUUUAAUGAAACAUUCAGCUCUUGGGCCUUCUGUUGACCGCAUUACAUUCCUUUCGCAUGAUUGGGUUGCUGUUCUUCGUCCUGAAGGAUAGAGAUAAACUGUGCUAAUGUAUUUAUCUGCUGGGUUUUAUUCCAUACUGCAAUGGUUACUGCGGUAUAAUGCUUAGCCAUGCUUUUGUUUGAGUUAAUGCAUUGCCAGAAUUCUGGAAGGUUCCAGCUAUAGAAAAUAAAAUCUAACAGUAAAUAAUGAUAAUGCAAACAGUUAUUUUAAGCAAAAAUGCUAUUGCGAUGCCGACUAGGUGCUAUAGCUGAAUGUAGCGACAAAAGGAAAGCAACAGAGAAGAAGCCAUCAUUGUAAGAGUAUGGAAAGCGUGUGUUAAAUGAGGCCUGUGAGAGAGAAAUCGAGAGCAGAGGAAUGCAAAUGAAGGAGAAGUACACAUCAUUAUGUCCAAUAA